CCUACGGGUGGCAGCAGCAAGGAGUUUUCCGCAAUGGGCGGAAGCCUGACGGAGCAACGCCGCGUGGGGGAUGACACCUUUCGGGGCGUAAACCCCUUUUCUUGGGGGACGAAGCAGUGACGGUACCCGAGGAGAAGGCCCGGCUAACUACGUGCCAGCAGCCGCGGUAAUACGUAGGGGCCGAGCGUUGUCCGGAGUUACUGGGCGUAAAGCGCGCGCAGGCGGCUGUCAAGCCUGACGUGAAAGCCCCCGGCUCAACCGGGGAGGGUCGUCGGGGACUGGGCAGCUUGAGGUCGGCAGGGGGCUGGUGGAAUUCCCGGUGUAGUGGUGAAAUGCGUAGAGAUCGGGAGGAACACCCGUGGCGAAGGCGGCCAGCUGGGCUGGACCUGACGCUGAGGCGCGAAGGCGUGGGGAGCGAACGGGAUUAGAUACCCCGGUAGUCCACGCAGUAAACGAUGCAGACUAGGCGUGGGGGGACUUGACCCCCUCCGUGCCGAAGCCAACGCGUGAAGUCUGCCGCCUGGGGAGUACGGCCGCAAGGCUA
Molecule: ribosomal RNA, 544 nt
Filed under: uncultured Chloroflexota bacterium
Lineage: Bacteria; Bacillati; Chloroflexota
Description: bacterial SSU rRNA
Rfam family: Bacterial small subunit ribosomal RNA
Source: RNAcentral